UACAGAGGUCUCAAGCGUUGUUCGGAUUCAUUGGGCGUAAAGGGUGUGUAGGUGGCGCGCUAAGUCGGGUGUGAAAUUUCGGAGCUUAACUCCGAAACUGCAUUCGAUACUGGCGUGCUUGAGGACUGGAGAGGAGACUGGAAUUCAUGGUGUAGCAGUGAAAUGCGUAGAGAUCAUGAGGAAGACCAGUGGCGAAGGCGGGUCUCUGGACAGUUCCUGACACUGAGACACUAAGGCCAGGGGAGCAAACGGG
RNAcentral lists this ribosomal RNA (253 nucleotides) under uncultured bacterium. Its description in RNAcentral is "partial 16S ribosomal RNA". It matches the Rfam family "Bacterial small subunit ribosomal RNA", at positions 524 to 776 of the family's 1533-position model. The record is from RNAcentral.